RNAcentral lists this ribosomal RNA (200 nucleotides) under uncultured bacterium. RNAcentral's name for it is "partial 16S ribosomal RNA". It matches the Rfam family "Bacterial small subunit ribosomal RNA", at positions 355 to 549 of the family's 1533-position model. The record is from RNAcentral.
UGGGGAAUAUUGCACAAUGGGCGCAAGCCUGAUGCAGCCAUGCCGCGUGUGUGAAGAAGGCCUUCGGGUUGUAAGCACUUUCAGCGAGGAGGAAGGGUAGUGUGUUAAUAGCACAUUGCAUUGACGUUACUCGCAGAAGAAGCACCGGCUAACUCCGUGCCAGCAGCCGCGGUAAUACGGAGGUGCAAGCGUUAAUCGGA